CCUACGGAUGGCAGCAGUGAGGAAUAUUGGUCAAUGGGCGCGAGCCUGAACCAGCCAAGUAGCGUGAAGGAUGACUGCCCUACGGGUUGUAAACUUCUUUUAUAAAGGAAUAAAGUGAGGCACGUGUGCCUUUUUGUCUGUACUUUAUGAAUAAGGAUCGGCUAACUCCGUGCAAGCAGCCGCGGUAAUAAGGAGGAUACGAGCGUUAGACGGAUUUAUUGGGUUUAAAGGGAGCGUAGAUGGGUUGUUAAGUCAGUUGUGAAAGUUUGCGGCUCAACCGUAAAAUUGCAAUUGAUACUGGCAGUCUUGAGUACAGUUGAGGUAGGCGGAAUACGUGGUGUAGCGGUGAAAUGCUUAGAUAUCACGAAGAACUCCGAUUGCGAAGGCAGCUUACUAAACUGCCACUGACAUUGAUGCUCGAAAGUGUGGGUAUCAAACAGGAUUAGAUACCCGAGUAGUG
This 460-nucleotide ribosomal RNA is filed under the name uncultured bacterium. RNAcentral describes it as "partial 16S ribosomal RNA". It matches the Rfam family "Bacterial small subunit ribosomal RNA", at positions 338 to 795 of the family's 1533-position model. The record is from RNAcentral.